RNAcentral lists this ribosomal RNA (467 nucleotides) under uncultured bacterium. RNAcentral's name for it is "partial 16S ribosomal RNA". It matches the Rfam family "Bacterial small subunit ribosomal RNA", at positions 28 to 507 of the family's 1533-position model. The record is from RNAcentral.
GAUGAACGCUGGCGGCGUGCUUAACACAUGCAAGUCGAACGGAAAGGCCCAAGCUUGCUUGGGUACUCGAGUGGCGAACGGGUGAGUAACACGUGGGUGAUCUGCCCUGCACUUCGGGAUAAGCCUGGGAAACUGGGUCUAAUACCGGAUAGGACCACUCCUUGGAGGUUGUGGUGGAAAGUUUUUUCGGUGUGGGAUGAGCUCGCGGCCUAUCAGCUUGUUGGUGGGGUAAUGGCCUACCAAGGCGUCGACGGGUAGCCGGCCUGAGAGGGUGUACGGCCACAGUCGGACUGAGAUACGGCCCAGGCUCCUACGGGAGGCAGCAGUGGGGGAUAUUGCACUAUGGGCGCGAGCCUGAUGCAGCGACGCCGCGUGGGGGAUGACGGCCUUCGGGUUGUAAUCUCCUUUCGCUAGGGACGAAGCGUUUUGUGACGGUACCUGGAGAAGAAGCACCGGCUAACUACGUG